RNAcentral lists this ribosomal RNA (271 nucleotides) under uncultured bacterium. RNAcentral's name for it is "partial 16S ribosomal RNA". It matches the Rfam family "Bacterial small subunit ribosomal RNA", at positions 83 to 354 of the family's 1533-position model. The record is from RNAcentral.
AUUUUUAUUUUAGUGGCGGACGGGUGAGUAACGCGUGGGCAACCUGCCCCAUACCGGGGGAUACCAGCCGGAAACGGCUGCUAAAACCGCAUAAGCGCACAGCAACGCAUGUUGCAGUGUGAAAAACUCCGGUGGUAUGGGAUGGGCCCGCGUCCGAUUAGCCAGUUGGCGGGGUAGCGGCCCACCAAAGCGACGAUCGGUAGCCGGCCUGAGAGGGCGGACGGCCACAUUGGGACUGAGACACGGCCCAAACUCCUACGGGAGGCAGCAG